UAUGGCAUUAGCUGGCUGCUCUAA
RNAcentral lists this non-coding RNA (24 nucleotides) under Rattus norvegicus (Norway rat). Lineage: Eukaryota; Metazoa; Chordata; Mammalia; Rodentia; Muridae. The record is from RNAcentral.